UGUAACCAUUUUGCCUUUUGGUGUGAUUCCCUUCACGUCUUACAAAUUAAGGAAGUUUGGUCUGGUGUUAGUAUUUGGAUGGGAGACCUCCAAAGAACAGGAGGUAGUGGUGAUUC
RNAcentral lists this ribosomal RNA (116 nucleotides) under Chelonoidis abingdonii (Abingdon island giant tortoise). The record is from RNAcentral. Lineage: Eukaryota; Metazoa; Chordata; Testudines; Testudinidae.